CCGCAGCCCUAGUGGUGAUCGCUAUUAUUGAGCCUAAAGCGUCCGUAGCCGGCUUGAUAAAUCCUUGGGUAAAUCGGGCAGCUCAACUGUCCGAAGUCCGAGGUGACUGUCAAGCUUGGAACCGGAAGAGGUCAGAGGUACUCCAGGGGUAGGGGCUAAAUCCUGUAAUCCUUGGGGGACCACCAGUGGCGAAGGCGUCUGACUAGAACGGAUCCGACGGUAAGGGACGAAACCCUGGGGCGCAAACCGGAUUAGAUACCCGAGUAGUCC
RNAcentral lists this ribosomal RNA (270 nucleotides) under uncultured archaeon. RNAcentral describes it as "partial 16S ribosomal RNA". It matches the Rfam family "Archaeal small subunit ribosomal RNA", at positions 477 to 747 of the family's 1478-position model. The record is from RNAcentral.